AUUGAACGCUGGCGGCAGGCCUAACACAUGCAAGUCGAGCGGAUGAAGGGAGCUUGCUCCUGGAUUCAGCGGCGGACGGGUGAGUAAUGCCUAGGAAUCUGCCUGUUAGUGGGGGAUAACGUCCGGAAACGGGCGCUAAUACCGCAUACGUCCUUAGGGAGAAAGUGGGGGAUCUUCGGACCUCCCGCUAUCAGAUGAUCCUAUGUCGGAUUAGCUAGUUGGUGGGGUAAAGGCCUACCAAGGCGACGAUCCGUAACUGGUCUGAGAGGAUGAUCAGUCACACUGGAACUGAGACACGGUCCAGACUCCUACGGGAGGCAGCAGUGGGGAAUAUUGGACAAUGGGCGAAAGCCUGAUCCAGCCAUGCCGCGUGUGUGAAGAAGGUCUUCGGAUUGUAAAGCACUUUAAGUUGGGAGGAAGGGCAGUAAGUUAAUACCUUGCUGUUUUGACGGUACCAACAGAAUAAGCACCGGCUAACUUCGUG
This 484-nucleotide ribosomal RNA is filed under the name uncultured bacterium. RNAcentral's name for it is "partial 16S ribosomal RNA". It matches the Rfam family "Bacterial small subunit ribosomal RNA", at positions 30 to 507 of the family's 1533-position model. The record is from RNAcentral.